Molecule: ribosomal RNA, 253 nt
Filed under: uncultured bacterium
Lineage: Bacteria
Description: partial 16S ribosomal RNA
Rfam family: Bacterial small subunit ribosomal RNA
Source: RNAcentral
UACGUAGGGUGCAAGCGUUGUCCGGAAUUAUUGGGCGUAAAGAGCUCGUAGGCGGUCUGUCGCGUCGGGAGUGAAAACUCAGGGCUUAACCCUGAGCCUGCUUCCGAUACGGGCAGACUAGAGGUAUGCAGGGGAGAACGGAAUUCCUGGUGUAGCGGUGGAAUGCGCAGAUAUCAGGAGGAACACCGGCGGCGAAGGCGGUUCUCUGGGCAUUACCUGACGCUGAGGAGCGAAAGUGUGGGGAGCGAACAGG